This 404-nucleotide transfer-messenger RNA is filed under the name Alistipes sp. It matches the Rfam family "transfer-messenger RNA". From Rfam's summary of the family: Bacterial tmRNA, also known as 10Sa RNA or SsrA, is named for its dual tRNA and mRNA-like properties. Its role is to liberate the mRNA from a stalled ribosome. The record is from RNAcentral. Lineage: Bacteria; Pseudomonadati; Bacteroidota; Bacteroidia; Bacteroidales; Rikenellaceae.
GGGGGUGCCCGGUUUUGACAGCAGGCAGAGUUCGAUUGUAAGCACGCCGAGCGCUGUGUGGCGGCUCGUAAAUCCCGACGCUCGACAAUCAAAUGGCAAUAACAGCUAUGCACUCGCUGCCUAAUUUUCAAGGAAAAUUGGCUUAAUCGAUCGGCCCGAGGCGGUCGGACGACGAGUAUCCCGAGAGGCGGUUCCGCUCCUUAACGGCCUUUCAUACGGGGUAUCAUUCAUUCGGAGAUAGUGCGUCGGAGGGUUCCGGCCGACGUGCGAAAUCGAAGGGACUGGGAUUCGCGUUCGGUCGUCGCCUGCCAGACGCGGAUAGGAGGAUGAAACGGCGACUAAGCGUGUAGAAAGCCUUCGGGUUCCCUGUUUGGACGCGGGUUCGACUCCCGCCACCUCCACAA